RNAcentral lists this ribosomal RNA (410 nucleotides) under Streptococcus pyogenes. RNAcentral describes it as "bacterial SSU rRNA". It matches the Rfam family "Bacterial small subunit ribosomal RNA", at positions 80 to 477 of the family's 1533-position model. The record is from RNAcentral. Lineage: Bacteria; Bacillati; Bacillota; Bacilli; Lactobacillales; Streptococcaceae.
GCACCUGGUCAAGGAUUUGCGAACGGGUGAGUAACGCGUAGGUAACCUACCUCAUAGCGGAGGAUAACUAUUUUAAACGAUAGCUAAUACCGCAUAAGAGAGACUAACGCAUGUUAGUAAUUUAAAAGGGGCAAUUGCUCCACUAUGAGAUGGCCCUGCGUUGUAUUAGCUAGUUGGUGAGGUAAAGGCUCACCAAGGCGACGAUACAUAGCCGACCUGAGAGGGUGAUCGGCCACACUGGGACUGAGACACGGCCCAGACUCCUACGGGAGGCAGCAGUCGGGAAUCUUCGGCAAUGGGGGCAACCCUGACCGAGCAACGCCGCGUGAGCGAAGAAGGUUUUCGGAUCGUCAAGCUCUGUUGUUAGAGAAGAAUGCUGGUGGGAGUGGAAAAUCCACCAAGUGACGGUA